AUUGAACGCUGGCGGCAUGCCUUACACAUGCAAGUCGAACGGCAGCAUAGGAGCUUGCUCCUGAUGGCGAGUGGCGAACGGGUGAGUAAUAUAUCGGAACGUGCCCUAGAGUGGGGGAUAACUAGUCGAAAGAUUAGCUAAUACCGCAUACGAUCUACGGAUGAAAGUGGGGGAUCGCAAGACCUCAUGCUCCUGGAGCGGCCGAUAUCUGAUUAGCUAGUUGGUGGGGUAAAAGCCUACCAGGGCGACGAUCAGUAACUGGUCUGAGAGGACGACCAGCCACACUGGGACUGAGACACGGCCCAGACUCCUACGGGAGGCAGCAGUGGGGAAUUUUGGACAAUGGGGGCAACCCUGAUCCAGCAAUGCCGCGUGAGUGAAGAAGGCCUUCGGGUUGUAAAGCUCUUUUGUCAGGGAAGAAACGGUUCUGGAUAAUACCCAGAGCUAAUGACGGUACCUGAAGAAUAAGCACCGGCUAACUACGUGCCAGCCGCCGCGGUAA
This 502-nucleotide ribosomal RNA is filed under the name uncultured bacterium. RNAcentral's name for it is "partial 16S ribosomal RNA". It matches the Rfam family "Bacterial small subunit ribosomal RNA", at positions 30 to 523 of the family's 1533-position model. The record is from RNAcentral.